RNAcentral lists this ribosomal RNA (253 nucleotides) under uncultured bacterium. Its description in RNAcentral is "partial 16S ribosomal RNA". It matches the Rfam family "Bacterial small subunit ribosomal RNA", at positions 524 to 776 of the family's 1533-position model. The record is from RNAcentral.
UACGUAGGAGGCGAGCGUUGUCCGGAAUUACUGGGCGUAAAGCGCGCGCAGGCGGUUCUCCAAGUCAGUGGUGAAAGCCCGGAGCUCAACUCCGGAACUGCCAUUGAAACUGUUGAACUUGAGGACGAGAGAGGUGAGUGGAACUCCCAGUGUAGAGGUGAAAUUCGUAGAUAUUGGGAAGAACACCGGUGGCGAAGGCGGCUCACUGGCUCGUUUCUGACGCUCAGGCGCGACAGCGUGGGGAUCAAACAGG